This is a long non-coding RNA of Homo sapiens (human), 1316 nucleotides long. RefSeq lists it as uncharacterized. NCBI's taxonomy places the organism in Eukaryota, Metazoa, Chordata, Mammalia, Primates, Hominidae. The record is from RefSeq and is marked validated.
UACACCAGCAGAGACCUCCCUGCCCUGCGGCCACCAGGAAUCCAUGCAGCGUGCAUGCCCCACCAUAGCUCCACCGCCACCAGGAAUUCAGGUGCUGCUGAAGCUGCAUCAAGAAAGCCCCAGCCCAGUCGCCUCCCCUAGAUGAAUGAGAGUGAGCUCUUUUCUAAUUGUGAAGGACAUGGCAGAUUGUAGCUGUGAAGACACUGUCAGGUCACUCUGUGGAAGUUUGAGGUGAGCCCUUCCAGGGUCACCUGGCCAUGGAGGACCCAGGCUCAGCCCAUCUUUCUUCACCAUCUGGGGGGGUUGGUGAUGGAGCCACAACAGCAGCGAGCAUCACAUUGUCUCAAAAUGUCAUCCGCGUGAGGGAAGGAGGGACGGCUCCUCCUUGGGUGCCUCCCUCUCCUUGGGAGGAAAACCCUUCUCAGAAGCCCCCAGAAUGUGUCUGCUGAGGUCCUGUGGUCCAGAGCUUGUUCCAGGACAAUGUGUACACUUCCGCUGGCAGGGGACAUGGGUGUCAUGACUGGCUGCCUGCCCACAGGUGAGCCCGUGGUAUCAUGGAUGCCCCAGAAGACACGAGACUCGUGGGUCUGAGACAAAGGGCCCUGUUUCUCAGCAUGAGCUUCAGCUGUGGCUCCUCUUGCCUACAAUCCCGUGGGGGCGACGGGAGUGCCUGGCGAUGCAGCACACACAGCUGGCAGGAGCCCACCCUCCCUCUGCCAUUACCCAGGAGGCCGCAGUGUGACAUCAAAAAUACUCUGCAACUUGGCCCAGGUUCACAUUCUGCAAAAGCUGUGAGCUUGCAAAUUGCCUUUGAUCCUAUAAGAGCCAUCAUGGUGAUCAAUUUCUUUCUACACAACGCCAGCACAUAUUUAACCCCCCACACGGAGCAACGUCCAGUUUAACCCGCACAGCAGCAACCCAGCCUCCAGCUCUGUCUCACCAAGCACGUGUCAACAAUUCUCUUCCUAGGUGAUUCCAGCAGCACAGCCUGGCAGCUCCUGAGCCCUUGGGAAGUUCUGCAGCUCGGCUUACCCAGGGCUGCCCUGGCCAAAGCCCCAGCCACUCUCCUUUACUGCAGAGAGCGGGACCGUGUCCCCCUUCAUCCCCCUAGAACGGUAGGGCUGGGAGCUGCGUCAGACCUGCCUCCACGUGCCUGUGGGAAGAGACGUCGGAGUCUGAUCGCAGACACAAGAAGAUCAGUCACCCAAAAAGAUAAAAUAUACUCGAACUUCCGACCCUUCAUCUUCCUUUCAGAACACACUCACAUUUUCUAUAGGAAAACAGCCUCAUAAUAAUAAAAACUCAAUUUAGCGAAA